GUGCUUGCUUCAGUAGCACAGAUACUAAAAUUGAGUUCAGAGAAGAUCAGAAUGGCCCUGUGCAAGGAGGAUAUGUAACACUGCAAUGUUCCAUAUUUUA
Molecule: small nuclear RNA, 100 nt
Organism: Cricetulus griseus (Chinese hamster)
Lineage: Eukaryota; Metazoa; Chordata; Mammalia; Rodentia; Cricetidae
Source: Ensembl